This is a long non-coding RNA of Branchiostoma floridae (Florida lancelet), 468 nucleotides long. RefSeq lists it as uncharacterized. The record is from RefSeq and is a predicted model, not a curated record. The transcript is spliced from 3 exons. Lineage: Eukaryota; Metazoa; Chordata; Leptocardii; Amphioxiformes; Branchiostomatidae.
CCAGAAAUGCGGCUGAAAAUUCGCAGGCGAAGAGAAUCGCCACUUUCAAGGAAUACUGUAGGAAGAAUCCUGUCCAGUCUAAAUGGGGGUUCUCGUCGCAAAUGUACCUCGAGCGAAUCAUGGUUAUUGACAGGCUCAAAACCAUGUACUGUUUUAUUCCCAAAACUGGAUGUACAACGACCAAAUACCUGAUGUACAAUCUGCAACACGGUACAAAUGCGAGCGCAGUAGAUCCCAAACAGACACGGGUACGGAUCCAUCAAGAACACUAUAGCUUGCUGAAAGACUACAGCAAGGAAGAGGCGGACAUACGACUUGCGACCUACAACAAACUCAUUGUAGUUCGCGACCCCUUGGAAAGGUUAGCGUCUGCCUGGCUUGACAAAUUCAUGCACAACCCUAAACGCUCAUUGUACAUCAAGACGUUCCAGCGAAAAACACGAGAGAAGGAUUUGAGAAAAAUCUACA